This 67-nucleotide small nuclear RNA is filed under the name Mustela putorius furo (domestic ferret). RNAcentral's name for it is "U4 spliceosomal RNA". It matches the Rfam family "U4 spliceosomal RNA", at positions 1 to 67 of the family's 138-position model. Rfam says of the family: U4 small nuclear RNA (U4 snRNA) is a component of the major U2-dependent spliceosome. Lineage: Eukaryota; Metazoa; Chordata; Mammalia; Carnivora; Mustelidae. The record is from Rfam by way of RNAcentral.
AGCUUUGUGCAGUGGCGGUAUGGUAGCCAAUGAGGUUUAUCCGAGGCGCGAUUAUUGCUAAUUGGAU